Hypanus sabinus (Atlantic stingray) is the source of this 1168-nucleotide long non-coding RNA. RefSeq lists it as uncharacterized. The transcript has 6 exons. NCBI's taxonomy places the organism in Eukaryota, Metazoa, Chordata, Chondrichthyes, Myliobatiformes, Dasyatidae. The record is from RefSeq and is a predicted model, not a curated record.
GAAGACCCUGAUGUAUCGUAUGUGAAAUUUAAUUUCAAGACCAUCUCUGUUCCCCGUUCCGGACGAGUGGAGGUCAUUUAUAAAUAUCAGGAAGAGUGAAGAUCCCAGAACAGAUCCCUGAGGCACAACACUGAUUUCCGACCUCCAUGCAGAAUAUGACCCGUCUACAGCCACGAUGGAAAACCACUUCUAUUGGCAAGCCAGUUCUGGAUCCACAAAGUUGAGGGGUAAUAACCGUUCCUGAACCUGGUGGUGUGAGUACUGAAGCUCCUGUACCUCAUUCCUGAUGUUUGAGUGGUAAUAACCGUUCCUGAACCUGGUGAUGAAAGCGCGAUGUGUUUCCUGUACCUUCUACCCGAAUGUUGAGGGGUAACAACUGUUCCAGAAACUGGUGGUGUGUGUGCUGAGGUUCCUGUACCUCUUUCCUGAUGUUUGAUGGAUAAUAACUGUCCCUGUACCUGGUGGUGUGAGUCCUGAGGCUUCUCUUCCUCCUUCCUGAUGGAUGAGGGUUAGUAUCCGGUCCUGAACCCGAUGCUGUGAAUUGCGAUGCUCCUGUACCCGCAUCCUGCUGGCUGAGUUGAAAUAACCUUUGCUGAACUAAGGGGUGUGUGUCUUCUGGACCGAUAUCUGCAGUGAACGAUUCUGCGAAAAAUGGAUGGUUGCAGGGUAAUCUCCAUUCAGUGAAUGUACCCGAGACAAUCUAUAUCAGUAAUGACAUGAUGUCUCUCUGAAGGUUUAGAAUUUCUUUGCAAACAAUACUCAAACGGUCACUCACUGUUCCUUGCUCCCCAAUUACAGAACAAACUUGUUGCCAGGGAUGGAUCAACAGGAAAGGCGCUCAUAUUAUCUCAUAUCAACGGUGGCAAAACAUCACGAUGAGGCGAAGAAAGAAUGUUCAAACAAUGUUUCAAAGCUGCUGGAAAUGAGCUCAAUCGAGGAAGAGGGAGGUGUGAUCUGCAUAGAAGAGAUGGAAGAUUCAGAAUUCGAGAGCAGACAGCGGAAUCAAUAUGGAGACAAAUGUUCAGAAGACAGAAAAAUGCCUUUAAUCAGAAAACGUCCUUAAUCAAAGGGAAUGUGAGGGAGAGCAGAGGCGAGCUGUCGUGACAGGAGAUUCGUUAAUACGGGUAACAAACGGAGGCAUUUUGGAAGAGAACGACAGUCCUGGAUG